UGAGGAUCUUGACAGCAUGAAGAAGAAAUGGUUCGAUUUGGUGCAGAAAUAUGCCAAAGACGAUCAGACAUUCCCUCAGUCUCUACUGUGUCUUCUACGUCAUAUCCGCAAUCGUAUGGUCCACAGCAAAAAAGAAAUGGAAGACAUCAAUGUGCCCAGGCUUUUCCCUGACCUUGUCAUCACAGCAUACAAAUGUGCCAAAGAAAGAGGGUGGACAGUAGAGGGAUUCCUGCCCCUGCCCCCUGCCCCUGUUUCGAGGAAGAGAAAAGCUGAAUCCCCCACCCCAGACCAGGAGAUGCAGAAUUAAGC
Engraulis encrasicolus (European anchovy) is the source of this 309-nucleotide long non-coding RNA. RefSeq lists it as uncharacterized. The transcript has 3 exons. The record is from RefSeq and is a predicted model, not a curated record. NCBI's taxonomy places the organism in Eukaryota, Metazoa, Chordata, Actinopteri, Clupeiformes, Engraulidae.